Molecule: ribosomal RNA, 253 nt
Filed under: uncultured bacterium
Lineage: Bacteria
Description: partial 16S ribosomal RNA
Rfam family: Bacterial small subunit ribosomal RNA
Source: RNAcentral
UACGGAGGGUGCAAGCGUUAUCCGGAUUCACUGGGUUUAAAGGGUGCGUAGGUGGGCAGGCAAGUCAGUGGUGAAAUCUCCGGGCUUAACCCGGAAACUGCCAUUGAUACUAUCUGUCUUGAAUAUCCUGGAGGUGAGCGGAAUAUGUCAUGUAGCGGUGAAAUGCUUAGAUAUGACAUAGAACACCAAUUGCGAAGGCAGCUCACUACGCGAAUAUUGACACUGAGGCACGAAAGCGUGGGGAUCAAACAGG